This is a long non-coding RNA of Perognathus longimembris pacificus (Pacific pocket mouse), 170 nucleotides long. RefSeq lists it as uncharacterized. The record is from RefSeq and is a predicted model, not a curated record. The transcript has 4 exons. Lineage: Eukaryota; Metazoa; Chordata; Mammalia; Rodentia; Heteromyidae.
UGCUCAAGGCUGCACUCUACUACUUGAGCCACAGUGCCACUUCUGGCUUUUUCUGUUUAUGUGGUGCUGAGGAAUGAAAUCCAGGACUUCAUGCAUGCUAGGCAAGCACUCUACCACUAAGCCUGAUUCCCAGACCCAGGAUAAUUCUUUUGAGCCUGUUUUGAAAAUAA